UUGAACGCUGGCGGCAGGCCUCACACAUGCAAGUCGAGCGGAUGAAGGGAGCUUGCUCCUGGAUUCAGCGGCGGACGGGUGAGUAAUGCCUAGGAAUCUGCCUGGUAGUGGGGGAUAACGUCCGGAAACGGGCGCUAAUACCGCAUACGUCCUGAGGGAGAAAGUGGGGGAUCUUCGGACCUCACGCUAUCAGAUGAGCCUAGGUCGGAUUAGCUAGUUGGUGGGGUAAAGGCCUACCAAGGCGACGAUCCGUAACUGGUCUGAGAGGAUGAUCAGUCACACUGGAACUGAGACACGGUCCAGACUCCUACGGGAGGCAGCAGUGGGGAAUAUUGGACAAUGGGCGAAAGCCUGAUCCAGCCAUGCCGCGUGUGUGAAGAAGGUCUUCGGAUUGUAAAGCACUUUAAGUUGGGAGGAAGGGCAGUAAGUUAAUACCUUGCUGUUUUGACGUUACCAACAGAAUAAGCACCGGCUAACCUCGUG
This 483-nucleotide ribosomal RNA is filed under the name uncultured bacterium. RNAcentral describes it as "partial 16S ribosomal RNA". It matches the Rfam family "Bacterial small subunit ribosomal RNA", at positions 30 to 507 of the family's 1533-position model. The record is from RNAcentral.